UUCGGGAAACCGGAGCUAAUACCGGAUAAUAUUUUGAACCGCAUGGUUCAAAAGUGAAAGACGGUCUUGCUGUCACUUAUAGAUGGAUCCGCGCUGCAUUAGCUAGUUGGUAAGGUAACGGCUUACCAAGGCAACGAUGCAUAGCCGACAUGAGAGGGUGAUCGGACACACUGGAACUGAGACACGGUCCAG
RNAcentral lists this ribosomal RNA (192 nucleotides) under uncultured Staphylococcus sp. RNAcentral describes it as "partial 16S ribosomal RNA". It matches the Rfam family "Bacterial small subunit ribosomal RNA", at positions 148 to 334 of the family's 1533-position model. Lineage: Bacteria; Bacillati; Bacillota; Bacilli; Caryophanales; Staphylococcaceae. The record is from RNAcentral.